GCUGGGCGCAGUUGCAUGCACCUGUAGUCCCAGCUGCUCAGGAGGCUGAGGUAGGAGAAUCGCUCGAGUCCAGGAGUUCUGAGCUAUAAUGUGCCAUGCCGAUUGGGUGUCUGCACUAAGUUCAGCAUCAAUAUGGUGACUUCCCAGGAGUGGGGAACUACCAGGUUGCCUAAGGAGGGGUGAACCAGCCCAGUUCAGAAACAGUUAAAACUCCCAUGCUGAUCAGUAGUGAGACUGCAUCAGUGAACAGCCACUGCAGUCCAGCCUGGGCAACAUAGUGAGACCCCAUCUCU
Pan paniscus (pygmy chimpanzee) is the source of this 293-nucleotide unclassified non-coding RNA. It matches the Rfam family "Metazoan signal recognition particle RNA". From Rfam's summary of the family: The signal recognition particle (SRP) is a universally conserved ribonucleoprotein. It is involved in the co-translational targeting of proteins to membranes. The record is from Ensembl. Lineage: Eukaryota; Metazoa; Chordata; Mammalia; Primates; Hominidae.